RNAcentral lists this ribosomal RNA (635 nucleotides) under Lichtheimia hyalospora. RNAcentral's name for it is "eukaryotic LSU rRNA". It matches the Rfam family "Eukaryotic large subunit ribosomal RNA", at positions 72 to 617 of the family's 3401-position model. The record is from RNAcentral. Lineage: Eukaryota; Fungi; Mucoromycota; Mucoromycetes; Mucorales; Lichtheimiaceae.
UGAUUCCCCUAGUAACGGCGAGUGAAGAGGGAAAAGCUCAAAGUUGGAACCUGGCUGUCCUAGAUAGUCCGGAUUGUAAACUAAAGAGCGUGAAUCCAGGCAAGCCGGUUGACAAAGUCCUUUGGAAUGAGGCGCCACUGAGGGUGAGAGCCCCGUAAGUCGACUGAGCAUUUGUCUUUUGUGUUUCGCGUUCAAAGAGUCAGGUUGUUUGGGAAUGCAGCCUAAAGCUGGUGGUAAAUCCCACCUAAAGCUAAAUACAGGCGAGAGACCGAUAGCGAACAAGUACCGUGAGGGAAAGAUGAAAAGUACUUUGAAAAGAGAGUUAAACAGUAUGUGAAAUUGCCAAGAGGGAAGCAUUUGGAGUUAGACUGACUUGAAGUCAAUCAACUUGGUCUUUGGACUGGGUGUACUUGGCUUUUAUGUCUGCCAACAGCAGUUAGUUCUGGUGGAAAAAACUAGAGGGAAGGUAGUCCUUCGGGAUGUUUAUAGACCUUUAGAAAAUACACUGGAAUUGACUGAGGAAUGCAGUAGAUGCUAUUAGGCUUCGUCUUGUGGGUGUUGGGUAAAGGUACUAGGUGUUUUCAGCUUGCUGAUGCGCUUGGUGCCCGAGUCCAUCCAUCACAAGUACUGUAAUC